Molecule: ribosomal RNA, 252 nt
Filed under: uncultured bacterium
Lineage: Bacteria
Description: partial 16S ribosomal RNA
Rfam family: Bacterial small subunit ribosomal RNA
Source: RNAcentral
UACGGAGGAUCCGAGCGUUAUCCGGAUUUAUUGGGUUUAAAGGGUGCGUAGGCGGCCUAUUAAGUCAGGGGUGAAAGACGGUAGCUUAACUAUCGCAGUGCCUUUGAUACUGAUGGGCUUGAAUGUAGUUGAGGUAGGCGGAAUGUGACAAGUAGCGGUGAAAUGCAUAGAUAUGUCACAGAACACCAAUUGCGAAGGCAGCUACUAAAGUAUGAUUGACGCUGAGGCACGAAAGCGUGGGAUCAAACAGGA